GGCCUUGUAGUAUAACGGUUAUUACAUAGGAUUGCAAAUUCUUUAAUUUCAGUUCAAUUCUGAGUGAGGCUUC
RNAcentral lists this transfer RNA (73 nucleotides) under Candidatus Hodgkinia cicadicola. Its description in RNAcentral is "tRNA-Cys". It matches the Rfam family "tRNA". From Rfam's summary of the family: Transfer RNA (tRNA) molecules are approximately 80 nucleotides in length. Their secondary structure includes four short double-helical elements and three loops (D, anti-codon, and T loops). Further hydrogen bonds mediate the characteristic L-shaped molecular structure. tRNAs have two regions of fundamental functional importance: the anti-codon, which is responsible for specific mRNA codon recognition, and the 3' end, to which the tRNAs corresponding amino acid is attached (by aminoacyl-tRNA synthetases). tRNAs cope with the degeneracy of the genetic code in two manners: having more than one tRNA (with a specific anti-codon) for a particular amino acid; and 'wobble' base-pairing, i.e. permitting non-standard base-pairing at the 3rd anti-codon position. Lineage: Bacteria; Pseudomonadati; Pseudomonadota; Alphaproteobacteria; Hyphomicrobiales. The record is from RNAcentral.